GACGAUGACCCCUUCUCAGAAUAUAGGAUACUCCCCAAAAAUCUUUUCUUUAUAAAACUUCUUAUUGAGACUUAUCAAGUCUAAAUCUUUUCUUUAUAGGACAUUAUGUAAAUGCUCAUAUUGGUGUCCUUAAAUGUAAAGCAUGACAUAAGAAUGAAAUAAAUAUAUAAAAAUAUUUUUAAAGAUUCUUUCUUCUUCAUAAUUUUUAACAUGAGAAUAGCAUAUAAGAAUAACACAAAAAUCUGAAAAUUUAAGCGCAUAUAACAUAAUAGAUCAUCUAAACUUUUGCUAGAACAAUUCUAAAUUAAUAGGUACUCACUUGCUCUAAUUAAAUAAAGAUAAUUUCUUUUAAGCAAUUCAUCAAACACUUUGUAUGCGUGCUUUUGUGAGUUAAACCACUUUAGUAAAGGGUUAUAUCAACUCACCUCAAAACUUCUCGAGCCAAUAAGUAGCCCCAGUCCAAUUGACUCCAGUCAAAAGGGUUAUAUCAACUCACCUCAAAAAUUAUCGAUCCAAUACGUAGACUCCAGUCCAAUUUAUUCCCGUCAAAUAAUUGAUUCUACAACAACC
Molecule: long non-coding RNA, 570 nt
Filed under: Nicotiana benthamiana
Lineage: Eukaryota; Viridiplantae; Streptophyta; Magnoliopsida; Solanales; Solanaceae
Description: long non-coding RNA (NBEN_LNC021168)
Source: RNAcentral